Molecule: long non-coding RNA, 1246 nt
Organism: Mesocricetus auratus (golden hamster)
Lineage: Eukaryota; Metazoa; Chordata; Mammalia; Rodentia; Cricetidae
Exons: 2
Source: RefSeq, a predicted model, not a curated record
AAGCUGAGAAUGCAGACGGGCGAGGCAACAGCUGCUACAUGAGGCUGGGUGGCCCCCGUGGCUACCGACGUGCACCCCCCGUUAAGCAAGACUGAAGCCGCACCGCGGCGGCCUCAGUAGCCGCACAGCAGCCCCCCAGAACGCUAAUUUCAGUCAGGGCCCUCUGACAAUGCACCCCAAUGAGAAGGGAGAGAAGGAAAUGUCAGGAUGUCCCAGGCCCACCUCCUGCCUGCCCUCCAUCUGUGCCUGCGUCAGGGCUCACGGGAACAUAUGCUGCCUGUUGCUCACUGACCAUCUGUUCACAGGGCUGUGAAGUGUGCCCGUUACCUUGGAGAUGGGACCCUCGAUUGGCGCAACACCACAAACAUUCGCUGCUCAGGGCUCAUCGGGCCUGGCUCCAGCACAGACUCCCAUCUCGAAAGCGAGUGUCUGUGGAGCCUCAGCCUUCCACUCCGGCUCUGCCCCGCGAUGGGACAUCUGUCCUCCCCCACCCUGUUGGAGCUGGUGCAAGGAGGAGCAAACAAGCUGUUAUUAACAACAGUCGGUCCUGAGAAACAUCUCUUGCUCAGUUUGGGCGGUGGAGGGGGCCUGCCGUGGUCCCAGGGGGGAGUUCCAGGUCUCCGGCAAGAGUCAGAAAAUUGGAAUCACACCUUUUAACAAGCUGCCCCCAGCUUAGGACAGUCACCUUAGCGCAAGGCCAGGGUCAGAAUGGGCUCUGUUCUUUUCCUUGGAAAUUUGGGGAUCCAGGGUCACCAAGUCUCAAGUCCAUUUUCUUCUGCCAUUGCUCAGUCUGGUAGCAAACCGGCCAACACGUAGGAUCCUAGGGGUACACUUAAGUACAUGGAAGCCGUUUGAAAAGGGAGCUAUGACCACGGAGACCACUCUUUAGUGCUCCCUCACAAUGAGCAAAUGUGUUGGCAUCCCCAUCAGAAGGAAAGACUGGACAGCUGUGAUCUAAUUGCUCAGCUUCUCACAUAGCUGGGACUACAGCCUGGUCCAAGCUCUGCUUGGGGUCUCUGGAGCUCUUUGUCACUGGCAAAGGAACGGUGUCUUCCAUAUGUUCUUAGGGAGCCAGCAUCCCUGUAAGUUUCCAUCUGGGACAAGGAGAAGUCAUAUUGGAACGGCAUCGCCCCCUCACAGCCCAAACCCCCUCACACUCUUGAAGACCUUCCAAAAACUCCCUGGCCAAUGUGCCUGGGGCGAUCACAACUUUCAGAAUCUUAAUAAAUCUAUGUUUAAAAGCGUC